GCCAGACUCAAUUGUGAGAAAUCUAGCUCUCACCAUCUAGAAAAAAAAAUAUAUCUGGUUUUAGAGAGAAAGGACCCGGGAAUAUAAUUUAUUUAAAUAUAUCUUGUUAAUUUAUUUAAGUAAGAAACCCCAAAGUUCCCCGGUCAUGCUUUGAGAACCGUCGUUGCUCAGUGUUUCAAUGGAGGGAGAUCGAUUAAGUAUCUCCAGCCUCGCGCUUUCUCCUCACAGUCUAGCAACAAUGAGUUGAAGGGGGCAAAGAGUGAAAGUUCUCGGAUUCUUAUCUUUUUUUUAACAGUAUCAUGUGUGGGAUAUGAAAUUGUAAAAUAAUACGAGAAAGGAAAUUGAGAAGAUGGACCACGACUUCGAGGUGGCUCAAGAAAUUGCAGCCAAGGAGGGGAAACAAUUGAAGGGAAUAGAGUUGGAAGUUCGAUAUUUCGGAAAGAGAACUGACUCUGGAUUAUUAUGAUUACAAAGAUGGGGAAAUAGUGUUUUAUCAAUUCAUAAAUAAUAAAUUUUAUUCCAAGAGAAACUAGCCAUUGUGUAGGAACCAGAAAUAAAUAAUUUGGCUUUGGUUUGUGUUCAAAUGUAACGCAACUAUAGAAUCAUGUUAUUAUUAAUAUAGAAUCUCCUUCUUGCGAUUCUGUAGAUUGAUAAUGUAUUGAAGGGCACUGAAAUAUCUAAGUACUAUUCAUCA
Eutrema salsugineum is the source of this 694-nucleotide long non-coding RNA. RefSeq lists it as uncharacterized. The record is from RefSeq and is a predicted model, not a curated record. NCBI's taxonomy places the organism in Eukaryota, Viridiplantae, Streptophyta, Magnoliopsida, Brassicales, Brassicaceae. The transcript is spliced from 5 exons.